Molecule: long non-coding RNA, 9318 nt
Filed under: Taeniopygia guttata (zebra finch)
Lineage: Eukaryota; Metazoa; Chordata; Aves; Passeriformes; Estrildidae
Description: lncRNA (ENSTGUG00000022115.1)
Source: RNAcentral
UUUUUUUUUUUUUUAAUUUUUUUUUCCAAUACAAGGGGUUUAAACUCUCUGGUGUUGCCAUCUUGUCUCUGAUCCCCUCGCAGUCCCCUGGCCCAUCUCUGUAGACUUCAAGUGUGCUCCAGCACAACCAGUGUGUCUUGGCGUCACCAACUCAGGGCUCUCACUUGCAUCCCAUCCCUCUAACCCUGGCAUGUCAUCCCACAACUUGUCAUGGCCAUUCCUGAUCUUAUCCCUUCUCCCUUCAAGUCUAGUUCAAAGCUCUGUCAAUCAGCCCUGCUGGCUCAUAAGCAAAGACCUUAGAGGAAGGUGAAUUCCAUCAAUAAGAUGAAGUUAUGGCAAAAUUAAGCUUUUUUCCUUUCUGCCCAUGUGCUGGUCUAUGGUCAGCUUUAGACAGGCUAAUUUGAGGCAAAUGCCAGUAGGAUUGAAUGAAAAGUGAUGGUGACAUUCUCCUAGAAAUCAAGCAACAUUCUGAUCUGCAGUCAUCCAAGAAGGCCUUUGAAUCUGGCAUAUUCAUCAGCAAAGGUCAAAUUUACUAUUUAGAGUUGGGCUACCUGAUUCAACCCUGGCAUUAAAAAUGCUGGUAAUUUAAAUUUUUAAGAAGCCUAUAGAAAAAAUGAAUCAGCUAUUUUAAUGUGAUGAAAUAUAAUGUAUUACAAACAUAUAACCCUACAAAGUCAUUUAAUGUUGUAAGUGUAUUAUGGGAAAAAGCAGGCACAAAAGGCUGUGGUUUCUGAGGAAGCUGCUUCUUUUAAAGUAAGACCCCAAACAAUCAGGUAUUUAUGAAAACCCCUGUACAAAAUAACGUAGAGACAGGAAAUCACAUAAGCUGCUUUAGGGUUUUAGAAGACAAAGAGCAGAUCAGAGACUGUCUAAAAUUUCUUGAUGUAUUUGAUUCUCAUUUAGAGGAAAAGAAUAUAAAUGCUGAGGUGUUUUUAAUAAAUUAGGUACCUUUGAAGGAUUUUCACAUAACUAGUACAACUGUUUAAAGGUAUUGUGGCAUCCAAGAAGAAACUAAAAGAAGAAACUUUUUACUCCUCCUGCUUUAUUUAUAUCUUUCCUUAUUUGUUGUUCACUCCCUGCUGAUGCAGUAAAGAUGUUCCCUAUUUAUGAGCUCCAUUAUGAAGCAUCAAAUGAUUGUAUCAACUGAAGGAAAACUGCCUAUACUGGCUAAAGCUUUAGCUUUACUGCCCUUUUCUCUUGAAAAUUGCCUCUGGUUGCUCUAGCAGACACUUCCAAUUCCUAACAAUUUUAAAGGCUGAUGCUCUAAAAAGUCACAAGUUUGUUUUUGGUUUUUUAUCCUUGGGAUUUCAAGUUUUUUUCUCCCAUCAGCCUGCUUGUUGGCAGUAUUAGCUAGCAGGUUGACAGGAAACAAGGAUAAACCACCAGGGAAUUGCCUGUUUAGGGUUUUUUUACAUUCAGUAACAGACUUUCAACCCCUCUCUACCAUUCUGCAGAGAUAUAAAACUACUUAAGAAUUAACUCUUCAGAGCAACCAUUGCUGUAUCCAUGACUAUAUGCCCUACAAUCAUGGAAAUCAUGUAAAGAUUUUACACUCUUCGUUGACUAUGCAAACAAUUGAAAGGAUGCUUAAAAAAUGGAAUUCACAUAGGAAAUCUGAAAUUGUUACAGUGGCUGUUGCUUCAAAGUUUAAAGAGAAUGGCUUUUAGCGAGUAGAUCUGGAAGAGUUAAUGGAGAAAAAUAUUCCAUGGAUACCCAGAUUAAUGGAUAUAGAGUUAUUUGUUUGCUACUGACUUUGUGAUAACUACACAAAGCUUUUUUUAUGUCGAAUGAACUUUGUACCAGGGUUUUUCCAGUACAUAAAUCUGAUGAACUUCACAACUGCUUCUGAUGUUUUGAGAAAAAAAAAGACUUGCUGCAUACAAAGCUGAGGUUGUGAUCAAUUAAAAAUAUAAUCACUUGGCCAAACUUAAGGCUUUUCAGAUCAUACUAAUAAAAGAGAUUGAUGGUACAAUUAGGAAUGCAGUGCAAAAUGGAAAUAAAAUUGACUACAUCAAAUUACUUUAUUAUACUUUCCAUAAUUUACUGAAGUAGCUCAACGUUAAGAAAUGGAAGCAUUUUUUCAUUUUGUCCAAAGCCUCUAGAACAAAGGAAAUUAAUGAAUAACUAUUGAAUUGUGCAGUUGCCUGCUUCACUAAUUCUAAACCUUAAGUGAUGUAUCUAAUGAUUUAUAUGAGUAACUCUGAGAAAGCAGUGUGGUAAAUUUUAACAUCCCAGUAAUAACUUGGUAGAGAGAAAUUGCUUCACUAGAUCCUGAAUUGUAUUAAAAGUUACUAUGUUGGUAUAGCUGUAGUUAUAGGAUUUGUGUACAUAUAUUCCAUAUAGAUAUGUUUUAUUGGACAUUCAAAUGGAAGAGCAGUUUCUGCUCAAAAGCUUUCUCAUUGCACUGGCUGGUUUGAGAAAUGAGAUUUCCUUUCUGUGUAGCCCUUUCUUCACAUCAGUCAAUCAGGCAUUAGCUAGGGCAUUGUAAUGGCACAAAACACUUUCCACAGCUGUGCUACCUGACAAAUUCUGUAUAUUUCUUACAAGAAAUAGGAUUUAUCAAAAUAACAUGAAGGAAUUUCUUAUUUCAGUAGGGCUCUGGGAUGUAUGCAAUGUGUAUUUACAGUUCACAUAGGAAUAAUGCUGUACUUAGAAAUGGUAAUUAUUUAGUGAUAGGAACAUCUUGCACUUUGGUCUAACUUUUCAAGUCACCUGAUAUUGAUAAAAAUUAAUAAUUUUAAUAAUAACUCAGAUUAACAGGUUUUGGGUUUUUUAAAUUUCAACAUCACUGUAUAGGGCUGAAUUUCAUGUUCUUUCAGCCAUUUAGAACUAAUAAAGAGUAACAAGAAGAAGAAAGCUGAUAAGUAACUUUGUAGCCUCUUCUGUGAGUAAUUUUGGAACAAGCAUAUUACACAGGAAAGGAUGUUAGUUUUGCAUUAUGAUGUACUGUGUUUCAAGAAGCUCUUUGAAUGCCCCCAAGCUGUGUUAGCCCAGAGUGAAUUAGAACACUGCAGCAAGUACAAACUCAGAGGAUAAUACCAGCAAAUACCAUUGCAUAGCACAUAAUUUAAUUUUUAUUUUCUAGACAGAAUCUAAUUGAAAACUGGUUUUCACUAUAAUGAUGUAAUUUGUAGUUUGCAGGCAGUGAGAAAGUCAUAUUUGUCAGUAGUUUCUGAGUACAGCAAGUUAUGAGGUGUUCUUUUUAGUUAGAUUAUAAAGGAUUAGAGCCCCAGAAUGCUCUGAGUAUUUGCAGCAUUUGGAAAGGGUUUUUCUUCCUGAAAACAGCCAUUUUCCUAGGCUGGAGCACUGGAGCCAGUCAUUGGGGUUGAGCUGCUGUUUGGGAGCUGGCAUUUAUAUGCAGUUCCUGCAGCACACCUGUCAUGCUUUAUGCACCUCUUCCCUCUCAAAUGAGCGUGUUUGCCAUCUGCAGUAUAUUAAUCACAGUCUACCUUUCCCAUAUCCUUCUUCCUUGGGAAAAUACCAGGCACUGGAACCAGAGCAUGACUGGCUAGAUGCUUGUGCUGGAAGAAGGGCAAUCAGGGAACCCACACCCUUACCAGAAACACACCAAAGGAUCACCUCACAUGAAAAGGGUCAUGGUGGCCUGGCCAGACCUUUCCUCUUUCUGUACAGAAUAAGGAAAAGCAGCCAAUGGUAACAGGGGGGUGUUUCCAUCUCAGUUUUCUCACAGCAGUGUCUCCAUGGUGUUUCUCUUUCAGUAUGAAAGCAGACAGCACAAGAACACACAGCACGAGCAUUCCCAGUCCUGGGAAUUUGUGGAGGUUAAGGGGAGAUGAGCAGCUGCCUGGUUUGUGGAGUAACAGCUAUGGAACAUGGCAGUGGUGGCUCCUCUUCUCCCAGCUGCAGAUUGUGGUGAUGCUAAACAAGUAUUUUUCCAUCUUCCAGUAGCAAAUUGAGCUUGGAGUGAAUUAUUUGGGCUUUAUUCUGGGAGGAAGUCAGAUUUCCUCUGAGGACAAGUGCAUUUUCUAGCUUUGCCUUGAGAGACACUUGGUUCCUGAGAAGUGCCAAGAAGGGAACCAAAGGCAAGGGAAAAAAUGAGGACCUGGAACCAGCUUGCUCAAAUACACUGGCACUGGCUCAGCUCAGCUGGUGAUGAAGGUUGAUCUGAAACAUGGCUAAAGAACUGAAAUAAUUUUUGUCUUAUCUACACUGCUUCCUUUGCCCCCCACAGCACAGGGGAAAUAUCCAUCACAGUUUGCAUCCAGGUACUCCAUUUACAAAUUUCUGUGGCAGGUGCAAUAGCCAUUAUAAAAUAGAGUGGAUUUGGUUUGGGGUUUUCCUGGAAAAUCUCUUUUGGCACUCUACAAAUGAUAGAGUAAGAGCAGGUGUUUAAAUAGAGAACCACAAUAAAACACAAAUCUUCUUAAUGAGUUGUAAUCAACCAAAAAGCUAAUGAGGUUGGGGCAGUUUUGUGAGUGUCUGAGGAGUCUCAGGCCUCCAGAGCAGGCUUUGCAUCCAUAAAAUAAAAUCCUUGGGAGCCAGGAAUUCAGGUUACUUUCAUUCCCCUUCAGAUAAGCCUGGUAAGGUUUCUUUGCUUUUGUAGUGGUGUAAAGCAAAUAUCUUUUCAAUAUCUCAUUGCUGACUCUCAGACUUGUAUUCUUGGAUCUAAUUCAGCCAUUUAUUGUCCUAAGCAUUAACAUUCAGUUGAUUUAUAUUUCUAUGCUUACUAAUUGCUAAUUCCUUAAAAUUUAUGGGCUUAUUUUUCAUCAGAUUCAAGGGGCUUUAUUCAGAGGUAUGAAGGGAAACAUGGCUACAGGAAAUGCAAACCUUGUUGCUUGACCUGCUGUUCCUUCUUUUACCUUUCCAUUCUCUCUUCUGGUUUUCACCAAUGUCUUUUGUUUUCCAGGGAAACUGUCUUUAAGUUGCAUGUUCUAUGAAAUGUAUACUUUUCUGUUUUCUGCUGUUUAAUUAAUACCUCACUAACUUUGGCUGAGGCUGUGAAAUCAUUGAUAACUGUGCUUGUUUGAAUAUAACCAGGUCCUUUGUUAUAUUACCAAAAUCAUGGGUGCUAGGAAACUGCAUAAUCCUCAAGGAAUCUCAGCAAGCCUGCCAAAUAAUCUGCCACCUCACACCUUGAGCUCGGCUAAAGGCUGGCUUAAGUGUGAAAGCAUGAGAUCAGAAAUCCUUUCCAAGCUUUGAGGUGUAUACUGCAGUAAAUCUGGGCACUCUAAAUUCAUUAUAAUGGUGGCAUCUCCUGUGAGCUCAUUAUGUAUUAGGUAUUGUCUUUUUAACCCCUAUGCACAGUCUUUUCUUUCCAUUCCAUUAUAUGGUGUAUUAUACCCUUUUUAAAAAUUUUAUUUAUUUUUAUGAGAAAUCAGUGUUUUCUUAUCUUCCUUCUCUGUUCCAAGCAUAACUUUAGAUAAUUUAUUUUUUUGGGGGUUUUUUUCUAUAGUAAAUAGCUCUGCUUUUUAGGUAUUGGUGCUUCAGCUCUGUAUCAUUCUCGUCUCCCUUCUCUAGGGUUAUACUGCAAGGAGUUUCUUUCUCUGAAGAUGGAGUAAUCAACAAUAUUGUACAAAUGCCUACAGUAUUUCUGGCAAGAAUCCCAGACGUGAAGCUGGCUGUGCUCUCCUGGGGACGAGGGGACAACCUGUUAGAAGCAGACGUGGUUCUGAUUCCCUUGGAAGAAGCACAAAAGGAGAUGUUCUGUUCUUUGAAAAUAACUGGAGCCACUGGCAAGAAGCAGCGACACUGCAUCGAACAAGGGAACCACUUCCAGGUUAUCAAAACAUGCUGUUGAACUGAAUUUUGCAGCUGCAUUUUCCAAUGUACCAUGGGAUGCAUCAAAUCCAAGGCUGCCUUCCAAGGUUCCAACGCUGUCCAGGAUGAGAGGAUCGGGGGAGGCGGCGAGGGCUGCGCUGGGGAGAAGUCGUCGCUGCUGGCGGUGCAGGCGGAGGAGAAGGGCCCCUCGAGCACCAUCGUGCUGGACUACGCGCAGCGGCUGUCGCGCGAGAUCCUGGAGCAGGCGGUCAAGCAGUGGGCGGUGACCGAGAGCAAGUACAGCGACAUCCCCUUCAUCGAGAGCGACGUGCCCUGAGCUCUCCGGGGCCUGAGUGUGCUCUGUGCGUGUGCCAGUGCAGAGGAAGCACCCCCAGCUGCCCUCUGAGCAUCACUGUGGGGAGGGGUCUGCAGGGAGAGCCUGAGAAAAGUUGCCCUGUAGCGUAGGGUGCUAACAAACUGAUUGGAUCGCAGUAGAACCCGUUCAUCGAGUGUCAUUUGUUGUCAGCCAUGCAUUGAGUAUACUCUGUCUUUGUAUGUGUUGGAUGUGACCAGAAAUAAGCGUUAAAAGGAUGAGAAGACUGUGGCUGCCCUGCACCUCUACAAACACUGCCACAGAGGACAAAACGUGGAUCAUUUCUAUGUUCUGCAUAAAAGAUCAGUGAUCUGUCUGUAGGUGGGAUGAACUCUCUGUGCUUGGUGAAUUUGUGUGUGUUUCGCUGAAAUUAAAUCAAGGUCUGCAUGUAGCAAAGGUUACUGCCAUCAUAAAUUUUACUUUUGAUUCUGUGACCUAACGGAAUCUGUAAGAUCACAAAAUGAAGGUGAUAGGAGGCACUUUGUAAACCCCAGUAGUAUUCAGGGAGCCAUUUGGAUGAUGAUGCUAUUCACCUUCCAUUGAAGUGAACCAGGGAGAAACAUGCCAGUGUUGAUAAGCAGUGCAUUAUCAUUAACAGAUGCUUCUGUAAAUGCAUGAAAGCUUUUCUCUAAAAGCCUGCAGUAAGAUGGGUUAAUGACAUCUGGUCACUGCAUUCAGACCAAAGCUGUUUGGUUUUUUGAUUUUGUUUGGGGAUUUUUUGUUAGGGUGCCAGUUUGGGAGGAUUUGGUUUUGUUGUUUUACCAGAGAGAUGUGCAAAAACUACUGAUGGUAGCUAGUGAAAAGAACCUUCAAAGGUGUGACAGUGCUUUAGGACAAUUUGUUUCAUGGGAGCUGUGGUUACAUUACACUGCAAUUCCUCUCUGAAGUACCACCCUUGGGACAGGCAGGACGUCUUCCUUCAGCUUCUGUAGGCUGCUGCUUCCCCACUGGAAAACCUGUUCAUGGCGCUGCCAGCAGGAGCCACAGGAGCCCCAGCACAGAGCAGUGCCCUGAAUGCAGAGUUACAGACUAAGCCUUAGGCCCGAAGCUCAAGGGCUGCAUUUCUCCCCCGGUGCAUCCACACACCGCUCCCUGCUUGCCCGGGUCUCGCAGCCUGACCCGCUGCACUCACCGCUGGCGUCUGACAGAUCAGGACACCCACGGAUUAUUUUCAUUCAUCCCAAAGGUACAGUGUUGCUGAGGUUUAUACAAAGUGAAGGCCUUCUAACAGCUUGGCUUUUACCACCUGUUUGUUCUGUUCUCUGUGAUGCCCAGUUUAAAAGACAUAGUUCUUUUUCCUAGAUCAAAAUGCUUUCCAUUUUGUUUUAAUAUUACAGAGAAAUGCUUUCCAUACUGGCUAAAGCUGUUACUAUUUUUAAAAGGUACACAUAGUUCUAGUAAAUGAUCCAAAGCAGGAUUUUUCAAGCAAUGGGAAGCAAGCAAAAAGAGGACCAUGUCAAAUGCUGUAGACAGUCUAUGAGCUGAGCUGUUUUGCAAAUGUUGUGACACAAAUGUAGGUAUUUGAAAUUCCCCUAUAUGGGAAGUGGUUUUAUCAGGAAUGAAAGGUGAAAAAUGCUUCUUUGUGACACAGCACAAGGCUGCCAUUAAAUCCCAGUGACCAGACUGGAUUCCCAGUGACCUGCUAUUAAGGCUCUUCUCAGGCUUUUGCUGGAAAAAGUAACAAAAUCAGCUUAUGCUGUAAUGUUGUCCUCUUUGAAGUUACGUAGUUGUCUUCAAAGCUGUUUGCAAAGUGGGACUAAGGUUUUAUGGUUCACUUAAAUUCUCCUGCUAAGAGUGAUGUUCCUUCAAGUUCUACAGCAUAUAAAACACUUGCUCAUACUCUGUUUGCUCUAAAAUACCUCCAGGGAUUAGUGUGAGUUAGAAAGCAAAGCCAAAUCACUGAUCCAAGUCAGUACAUAUCAACUGGAUAUUGAUUAAGCACAGUAUUAAAAAAGAUUCCUAUUCUUACUCUUGCUAAAAUAAAGCUUUAAUAAAAAAAAAAAAAAGGGCCAACCUUUCUAACAUGAGUGUGGGCUUGAGAAUGUGAACACUGCUAACCACAGUAAUUAAAAAUAAAAAACCAAAGCUCCACAGCCAUUGUUGGCCAGGCAGAUGAGGAGCAGGUAGAAAACUGGACUCGCUGUCAGAGCACCUUUAGGUGGAUCUGCCCUGGCCCUUGUACAAGGCACCCUGGUGGUGGCCACGGGCAGUGAGGUGCUGCAGUGCGUCCUGUUGCCAUGUCUCAAAUCCUUCCUCUGGAUGUAGCCUUAGCAUCUGACACUCUUUAAGAAUAUCAGAUGCACUUUUGAAAGCAGUUCCCUGCUGGCAGGCUGCCACUGCACGGUCCAACAGCAGGCAGAGUUAUAAAGCAGCCUGAGGUUCCAGCACAGCAUCCCGUGUGAUCAGCACUGGGAAUGUCCCCAGAGGAGGAGGUCGCCCAGUCACCCUGACCCUGCCCCAAGAGCUGCUCCCCUGGGAGGAGCUGCUGGGUGGGGUGGCUGCCCUGCCUGCCCCCAGAGCUGCCCGGGGUUACUCAGCACCAGCUCUUGGUGGCCCAGCCAGUCCCUCACCUGCAGCUCCAACCUCAGCCCUCACUGGUGCCUGGAGAUUACAGCAGCUUCAGAGCGGCCCCACGCGCAAUUCCAGCAGCUUUGGGAUGCUGUCCGUGACACUGGCACUUCAGGGAAGGCAUGCAGCAAAUGGAAAGCAAACAACAGGGAGAUGGCUUCUCACCAGGAAAAUCAUCUCUUUUACAGGAUGCUGUCCUUAUAAAUAAUGCACUUACCCUUAACAGAAAAUAAAUCCAUUCAGUGCUACAGUCUGGUAAGAGAUGGAGGGAGAUCUCUCUCCAGACCUCUGGUGUGCAUUUAACAGGCCCAAUACUAAUACAUAGUAAAAAUAAAGACUUCUUCACCUAAACACAUUUAUCCUAAGCUGUGCUAGAGUUUUAGAGCUACUGACAGUGGGUUUCCAGCUAAGUUAUUGAUUAUUUGACUUGAUUUUGUGUAAUAAAGGCGCUCCAGUUUGGGACUGGCAUACUCUGCAAAACUGUUUAGGAAUUAAAAAUACAUUUGCUUUAUAUUUUCUCCAGGAAACAAGAUUAAUCUGAGUGGAUAUGAUGUAACUGACUUGAUAUUCUAAUAAUGGUUCAAAAUACAUUAACUGCAGCACAACUUUGUAAAGUUGACGUCUCUGGACUAAGGCACAUCAGUAUUCCCAAAUAAAAC